This 492-nucleotide ribosomal RNA is filed under the name uncultured bacterium. RNAcentral's name for it is "partial 16S ribosomal RNA". It matches the Rfam family "Bacterial small subunit ribosomal RNA", at positions 29 to 507 of the family's 1533-position model. The record is from RNAcentral.
AGUGAACGCUGGCGGUAGGCCUAACACAUGCAAGUCGAACGGCAGCACAGUAAGAGCUUGCUCUUACGGGUGGCGAGUGGCGGACGGGUGAGGAAUACAUCGGAAUCUACUUUUUCGUGGGGGAUAACGUAGGGAAACUUACGCUAAUACCGCAUACGACCUACGGGUGAAAGCAGGGGAUCUUCGGACCUUGCGCGAUUGAAUGAGCCGAUGUCGGAUUAGCUAGUUGGCGGGGUAAAGGCCCACCAAGGCGACGAUCCGUAGCUGGUCUGAGAGGAUGAUCAGCCACACUGGAACUGAGACACGGUCCAGGCUCCUACGGGAGGCAGCAGUGGGGAAUAUUGGACCAUGGGCGCAAGCCUGAUCCAGCCAUACCGCGUGGGUUAAGAAGGCCUUCGGGUUGUAAAGCCCUUUUGUUGGGAAAGAAAAGCAGCAGGUUAAUACCCCGCUGUUCUGACGGUACCCAAAGAAUAAGCACCGGCUAACUUCGUG